AUUAUGCCACGUAAAAUGACA
This 21-nucleotide non-coding RNA is filed under the name Arabidopsis thaliana (thale cress). The record is from RNAcentral. Lineage: Eukaryota; Viridiplantae; Streptophyta; Magnoliopsida; Brassicales; Brassicaceae.